AUUGAACGCUGGCGGCAUGCCUUACACAUGCAAGUCGAACGGUAACGGGCCUUCGGGUGCCGACGAGUGGCGAACGGGCGAGUAAUACAUCGGAACGUGCCCGACCGUGGGGGAUAACGAGGCGAAAGCUUUGCUAAUACCGCAUACGAUCUACGGAUGAAAUCAGGGGACCGCAAGGCCUUGCGCGGACGGAGCGGCCGAUGGCAGAUUAGGUAGAUGGUGGGAUAAGAGCUUAGCAAGCCGACGAUCUGUAGCUGGUCUGAGAGGAUGAUCAGCCACACUGGGACUGAGACACGGCCCAGGCUCCUACGGGAGGCAGCAGUGGGGAAUGUUGGACAAUGGGCGCAAGCCUGAUCCAGCCAUGCCGCGUGCAGGAUGAAGGCCUUCGGGUUGUAAACUGCUUUUGUACGGAACGAAAAGCCUUCUUUUAAUACAGGGGGGUCAUGACGGUACCGUAAGAAUAAGCACCGGCUAACUACGUG
This 482-nucleotide ribosomal RNA is filed under the name uncultured bacterium. RNAcentral describes it as "partial 16S ribosomal RNA". It matches the Rfam family "Bacterial small subunit ribosomal RNA", at positions 30 to 507 of the family's 1533-position model. The record is from RNAcentral.